AAGACAGAGGGUGCAAACGUUGUUCGGAAUUACUGGGCGUAAAGCGCGUGUAGGCGGCAGGGCAAGUCGGAUGUGAAAGCCCACGGCUCAACCGUGGAAGUGCACCCGAUACUGCUCAGCUAGAGUCUCGGAGAGGAAGGUGGAAUGCUUGGUGUAGAGGUGAAAUUCGUAGAUAUCAAGCAGAACACCGGUGGCGAAGGCGGCCUUCUGGACGAUGACUGACGCUGAGACGCGAAAGCGUGGGGAGCAAACA
Molecule: ribosomal RNA, 253 nt
Filed under: uncultured prokaryote
Description: partial 16S ribosomal RNA
Rfam family: Bacterial small subunit ribosomal RNA
Source: RNAcentral